CUGUGUUAAGGAUUCCUCCAUGAUCACACGCCCCGUUUGUACACCAUGCGUGGGAAGACGCAUGCAGACCAAUAAUGGACGUACUUGUGAUGAUUUAAAGAUGCCUCCAAGGUCACGUGCUCUGUUUGCACCAUGCUUAGGAAGGAGCAUACAGACCAAUAAUGGAUGAAUUGUGCACCUUGAAAAGUUCUUCCAUGGUCACCUGAGGCAUCUGCGUCAUGAUUAGGCUCAGGAUGACUAAU
Long non-coding RNA from Pongo pygmaeus (Bornean orangutan), 242 nucleotides. RefSeq lists it as uncharacterized. The transcript has 3 exons. The record is from RefSeq and is a predicted model, not a curated record. NCBI's taxonomy places the organism in Eukaryota, Metazoa, Chordata, Mammalia, Primates, Hominidae.